RNAcentral lists this transfer RNA (74 nucleotides) under Chloroflexaceae bacterium. Its description in RNAcentral is "tRNA-Gln". It matches the Rfam family "tRNA". From Rfam's summary of the family: Transfer RNA (tRNA) molecules are approximately 80 nucleotides in length. Their secondary structure includes four short double-helical elements and three loops (D, anti-codon, and T loops). Lineage: Bacteria; Bacillati; Chloroflexota; Chloroflexia; Chloroflexales; Chloroflexaceae. The record is from RNAcentral.
UGCCGGGUUGUGUAAUGGUAGCACGACGGACUUUGGAUCCGUUUGUCCAGGUUCGAGUCCUGGCCCGGCAGCCA